Molecule: non-coding RNA, 29 nt
Filed under: Mus musculus (house mouse)
Lineage: Eukaryota; Metazoa; Chordata; Mammalia; Rodentia; Muridae
Source: RNAcentral
UUCGGAUCAUAGAUGACAUUCUUUUCCAC